AGCAGCCGCGGUAAUUCCAGCUCCAAUAGCGUAUAUUAAAGUUGUUGCAGUUAAAAAGCUCGUAGUUGAAUUUCGGGAUCAAUAUAUCGGUCGUGCCUCGGUACGUACUGGUAUCAUUGGUUUCUCCUUUCUGACGAACCAUGAUGUCAUUAAUUUGGUGUUAUGGGAAGUUAGGACUGUUACUUUGAAAAAAUUAGAGUGUUUAAAGCAGGCUUUAGCUUGAAUACAUUAGCAUGGAAUAAUGAAAUAGGACGUUCGAACCUAUUUUGUUGGUUUCUAGGAUCAACGUAAUGAUUAAUAGGAAUAGUUGGGGGCAUUAGUAUUCAAUUGUCAGAGGUGAAAUUCUUGGAUUUAUUGAAGACUAACUACUGCGAAAGCAUUUGCCAAGGAUGUUUUCAUUAAUCAAGAACGAAAGUUAGGGGAUCGAAGACGAUCAGAUACCGUCGUAGUCUUAACCAUAAACUAUGCCGACUAGGGAUCGGAUGAUGUAAUUUUUAAUGACUCAUUCGGCGCCUUACGG
Molecule: ribosomal RNA, 520 nt
Filed under: uncultured Glomus
Lineage: Eukaryota; Fungi; Glomeromycota; Glomeromycetes; Glomerales; Glomeraceae
Description: SSU rRNA
Rfam family: Eukaryotic small subunit ribosomal RNA
Source: RNAcentral